RNAcentral lists this transfer RNA (61 nucleotides) under Navis striatus. Its description in RNAcentral is "Argas striatus tRNA-Arg". The record is from RNAcentral. Lineage: Eukaryota; Metazoa; Arthropoda; Arachnida; Ixodida; Argasidae.
UAAAAAGAAGCGAUAUUAUCGCACUCAGUUUCGACCUGAGCCUAGGGUAAUCCCUUUUUAA